Molecule: ribosomal RNA, 472 nt
Filed under: uncultured organism
Description: partial 16S ribosomal RNA
Rfam family: Bacterial small subunit ribosomal RNA
Source: RNAcentral
ACUCCUACGGGAGGCAGCAGUGGGGAAUUUUGGACAAUGGGCGAAAGCCUGAUCCAGCAAUGCCGCGUGAGUGAAGAAGGCCUUCGGGUUGUAAAGCUCUUUUGUCAGGGAAGAAACGGUGAAAGCUAAUAUCUUUUGCUAAUGACGGUACCUGAAGAAUAAGCACCGGCUAACUACGUGCCAGCAGCCGCGGUAAUACGUAGGGUGCAAGCGUUAAUCGGAAUUACUGGGCGUAAAGCGUGCGCAGGCGGUUUUGUAAGUCUGAUGUGAAAUCCCCGGGCUCAACCUGGGAAUUGCAUUGGAGACUGCAAGGCUAGAAUCUGGCAGAGGGGGGUAGAAUUCCACGUGUAUCAGUGAAAUGCGUAGAUAUGUGGAGGAACACCGAUGGCGAAGGCAGCCCCCUGGGUCAAGAUUGACGCUCAUGCACGAAAGCGUGGGGAGCAAACAGGAUUAGAUACCCGAGUAGUCCCAU